This 510-nucleotide long non-coding RNA is filed under the name Panax ginseng (ginseng). RNAcentral describes it as "long non-coding RNA (PGIN_LNC011309)". The record is from RNAcentral. Lineage: Eukaryota; Viridiplantae; Streptophyta; Magnoliopsida; Apiales; Araliaceae.
AAAUCAAGCUAAGGUAUAAUAAAAAAAUUUCUACUUGUGUAGGCUAAAUUUCCUUGGUAUUUUGAUUUGAUUUUUGACAACUUAAAGUUGUGAUCUUGAGGUUUAAAACCUUAGAUCUAUGUAUAUAUAAGUGUAUCAUGUUUAGAUUUAACAAUAUUGGGUGUUGAUUUUGGUUGGAAUCAAAGGUAUAAAAUUUCCUAAACUCAAAAACUCUAGUUAGUUUAUGUGUUUUGUGAUGGUUGUUUUUCAUCAAGUGUUGAACUUAUGAUUUUGAAUCAUGUGAGGGAAGAUCUACAUGAUAUAUGAUAUUUUAUGGUUAGAUCUUGCAAUUUUUAGGGUUGAUAAGCUUGAACAAAGAAGAUGAACCAAAACAGUUUUUUUGUUUUAAAUGAAUUAGUGAACUGCUGCUCUAAACAGAAAAUUUCGGAUUUGUUAGAGUGCUCUAAAAAUUCUGGACUUGUGAUAUGUUAUAUUACACUCAAUAAGCUUUCCAUAGACUCCGAAACGGAC